GCUUGUGGGAGCAGAAAGCCAGAGUUGGUCUGCCUUGGUGGUGGCCUCACUUGUGGGGCUGCUGCUGAAUCUUCCUGGUGAGCUCCCCACCCUACCCCCCACUUGCCUGCCAGAUGGGGAGAGCGGGGCACAGGAGGGUCCCACUGGGGGCGCCUGGAGGGAAGAAGAGGGGGAGGGACGGGGCCAGAAUCUCGGCCUGGGCAUCUGCCUUUUUUCAAAUGUGGUUGCUCCAGAGGCCAAAACCCAUAGCCGAAGGCCCUCUUUCGUCCAAGUUCUGCCUGGUGGGCAGGGCACCCCCACCUGUCUCAGUGGCGGGGGUGCCUUGUCAGAGGCUGCGCUGCCCUCCCUCAGGCUGCCUGUUCUCAGAGGCUGGGCACAGCUGCCUGCUGAGCUUCAUACAGGUUCCUGGAAAGGCAGUGCCCCCAUGGGCCCCAGGUCCUGACUUCAGGCCUUGGAUUUAUUAGCCGGUGAUGAGGUAAGGUAGCUGGAGGGUGGUCACAGCUGUUGUGGACACUCAGGCUCUGCAGGGACAUUUCUGGAUCCCCCACCUUCCUCCUUUGGGGAGAGGCCAGGUGCCAGCCCAAGCAGCCUGAGCAGCUUUGUGACCUCCAGCCCUGCGCUCAUCCACAUACUUCCAUCUUUCUGAGCCUAUGGAGUAUCUGGGGUUGACAAAGAGGGGUGAGAGAACCAAAUUCGCCCAUCACUCUCCCUACAAGUGCCCUGAAUGCUGGGCUGCAGGCCUUUGGGGUCAGAUCCCCUGGGUGUGGGAUCUGCUGUGUGUGGGUCCUGCCUGGUACAGGACAGCUUUGCUGGUUCCUCUUCAUCUGCAAAGCUAGAGAGGCCUCCCCUUGGCACAGAGAUGGGUUGGUGGCCUGGCGGCAGGACUUGAGCUCUGGCUGCUCAGAGCUGUGAGGGUGGCGCCCUCUGGAGGAUGCUCUGGGAAAUACGGUCUUUGUGGGCAUCCUGGUCCCACCUGACCUGUGCUACCCUGUGAUCCAGCUUUCCACUUCUGUGUAUUUAUCCAAAGGAAACAAAAUCACCAUCUUGAGAAGCUACAAACACCCAGGGCUGAAUAUGGACAUGUUUCCUGGAAAAACCUCCCUGCCCUGUGCCCCGCAGCUCUGGCAUGCUAGCUUUCCAUGAUUUUUCUCCCUCUUCUCAAUCCAGGGAUGGCACUGUCCCUACUUACCAAUGAAGAAGCAUCUCUGAAAGAUCCCGUAGCUUUACAGGCCAGGCCAGGGCUGAGUGGAGUGCCCGACUCACUGGAAGGGCAUCCUGCACGCGCCUCAUGGCCCUGCUGCCCUGGGGGGACAGGUACACCUUGGGUCCUUGCUCCUUAUACUCCUUCCUCCUCAUGCUUCUUUUAUCCAUUACCUGGCACGUCCCAACGGACCCUGACUCUUCCUGGGGACCUACAGGCCAGGACCUGCCAUUGAGGCAUAAACCAUGUUUCAGGGCCAUUUCUAGGACCCCUUACAAACCAUCUGGCAUUUGAGCUGUUGAAAGUGCUGGUGAGUGGAGGCAGCCCUGGAAGGGAUGUCCCCACAGUCCUGGCCUUUUUCCUGGUGACAGUCUAGGUAGAGCCCGCAUGUCAGACAUUUGACAGACAAUGAGUGUCUAUUCCCUGUGGCUGCCAGACACAUGCAGAUAGUCAGUGGACAAAAUCAUUAAGUUUCUGCCCUUGAGAAGCUGACAUUCUGUAAGGGGAGGGGCAGUAAAUUAAAAAAUGAAUAAAAUAUAAAGUGUCAGGAGAAGUUAAGUGCUAGGGAGAAAAACAGGGCUGGGAGUAGGUUGUACAGUUUGCUGUUGUGGCAAAAUAUAACUUAGCAUAAGCUUUCCCACUUGUGAGUGUACAAUCCAGAGGCUGAGUGCAUUCACAAUACUGGGUCACCAUCACUGUCCAUUUCCAAGGGACGAAGUUCUAAACACAGUGGCCAGAGAGGUAGAAGGUGGCAUCUGAGCACCGGCUGGAGCAGGAGGGGACAGGUUCCUGAUGCCAGAGCAGUGGGUGGGGAGGAUCAAGGCCCAGGGUGGAAGCAGACCCCUGUCUGAGGCUCUGGAAGGCUAUGCGGUUGGAGCAGCAUGAGUGGGGGACCCAUGGGCUUCAAGAGGUGCCUGGCGGCUGCAUGUCCUGAUCUGAAGUUUAACAAGAGUCCUGUGGCUUCUGGGUAUGACUAGAUGCUGGGGGCAAGGGGCGGCGGGGCAGGGAGCCUACUCACAGACUCCGAGGCAGCGGCAGCGUGUCUGGGUGCAGGUCUUUUGUUUUCCGGCCAUUGGGAAGCAUUGGAGGUUUGAGGGAGAAGAGGGAACUGGGGAUCUCUGAGAGCAGGAGCAUGGCGGCACCAUGCAGGGUCCUGCACUUCUGGAAAGCAUCAAGUUCCCUCCUGAGACUGGCGGCCUUCUCCCCACCACUCCCUGGGGGAGCUGGAGUAGGGAGCGCUGGAUUCUUGUUGGGUGGCAGCUGGGUGGGAGUCUUGAGACCAUGUGGGGGGAUAGACAGGAGGACAGUAGGGAGUGGGGAACCCAGGAUGCAGGUCGCUGUGGGUUCAGAGGACUGCGGGGACCCGGAGGAGGGCAGCUGGGAAGAUAAGAGGGCAGCUAAAAUCAGUGCGGCUGUUGGGUGAGUUGGUGGGAGCAAGUGCAGGGAGGGCAGGAGAGAAAUCAGUAGAGGAGAGAACAGGAUGUGGGGGCCUUGAAAUCGGUGCAAACAGGACAGCAGCGAUUUGGGGCAAGGACUGCGGAGGACAUGAGAGUCUAUGGGCGACUGCAGUCAGGGCACGGAGUGGGGUGAGUGGUCUAGUCUCUGGCUGUGACCUAAAAAGUGGGGAGCCACGGGUCUGGAAGUAGGGGGGUCAUGCAGCCCACUGGGGGUAGCGUAGAAGGGGGGCUGCAGGGGGAGCGGGCUCAGGUAGGCGCAGCAUGGCUGGACUGGGAGGGAGCUACUAGAGCGAUGGCCGGGAAGGCCCAUAGGUAAGUGAGAGGUUUCCAUUUGGGUCAAAACUAGAUGCUGCAGAUGGUGGCCUGAAGAUGUGUUUAGUUUGACCCACAUAAUUUUAAAGAGUGUUUUUGUUAACUAGUUGACAGUAUUUAAAAGAUAGAUUUCACAUAAAAAUUUGGAUAUCAAGCUUCUCUUUAAAAAUCAGAAUUUCUGGCCAUGUGGGGUCACUGCCUGGAGCUCUGUGGUAGCUGCUGCCCCUGGGUUAGAGUAUAUCUGUCCACUCACUACAGCCUAGCUUGUCCCCAAGCCCAAGGGACCCACCCCAGCCAGCCACCUGGUCUCCCACGUUCGAACCAGAGUCCUGCAGUCACUCAGACAUUAGGCGGCAGCUUUCAUUCUGUUGUCAUAAGAUGAGCCAGGCCAGCUUCCUAAGCAAAUGACUCUAAGAAUGUCCUGCUGGAAAACCCAACAGGGCUUCUGGACAGGAGAGGAGAACUGGGUCACUCAGAGUUUCCAGGCCACAGGGGCAGGCUGGGUGGGCUGGACAAAACACAGGCCUGGGUUCCCACCCUGCCCGAUGCCCCACCCUGGGUCAUGUCUGCACGUUCAUGAAAUGAGGGUGGGUACUUUCCUGUUCUGCAAAGUGACCCAGAGUGAGAGGUUGACAGGGCCUAGUGACUGGCAAACAAAAGGUACCUUCCCCCUGAACACACCCUGGUCCUGAGGGAACCUUCCCAGCUCCUUUGGUCCCCUGGCUCCUCCUGCGACUAGCGAGUGGAGCCACUGCCCAGCCUUGUUUGUGAGGCCUCCCAGGAGGGAAGGGGCCCCUGGAGGCAGAGCAGGAGGAAGGGGCUCCUGGGCAGGGAGGGGGGCUACCCCCGCCUCCCACGAGGAUCCUGAGUUCUUGGCUUGGUACUCAAGAUUCCUACCCCUGCCUGGCCUUGUCACCCCUCCUCUGGGGGAGCAGGGGACGAGGAGGAAAGAUCAAGGGGGUGGAAGGCAGCACCUGGCCCUGAGACUCCCCCAUGGGUUCAGGGAGGCUUCUUAAGCCCUUUCCUUGAAGGCAACAGAAAUGAACUCCCACCCAGGCAGGACAGAACCUGUGCAGCUCACAGGCCUGCAGGCAGAGCUGACCAGGUUACAGGGGCACUGCCCUGGCUCCCCCUGGCUCCUCUCUUCCCAAGCCUGCAUCCAAUGAUAUCACACUGGUACCCUGGACUAGGCCAAAGCAAGAGGAUUCGCACCUCCCCAAGCCGGCACCCCAGCGUUUCCCAGGACACUGCUGCUCUGGCUCAGCUGCCUUCCCUCCUUAGGGGGUCUCAGGGCAAGGACAGACCUUCAGGAAGAGAGUGUGGUCCCUGGGCCUGUGCUCACCUGUGUUUCUGAGGCGUGGGCCUGUCAUCUCACAGGAAGUGUGUCUGCCAAGUAGACCAAAACAGUAGCUGCCACACGGAUGAUUCCAGGCGAAGAGGCUUCACUGGGCCUCCAUCCCCUCAUCUACAAUAUAGAAACUUCCAAGGAAGCCUCACUGGCUCAGGGACCCAUCCCACCUGCCUUCAUUGCACCCAUCUCCCAUCCUGCCACUGCAGGACUUAUUACAAGUUGCCAAGGCCAGCGCCACAGGCCAACGGGAGAUCCUGGAAGAAGAUGGCACGGCCUAACAGAUCACAGAAGACUCCUACAUUUAGAAAAGUGGUGGACCAGGAGGCAUUCUGUUCUGUAGAACAAAGGCCCUAGGCUUUAGCCCACAGGACUUUUAUUAGGGAAGAUGAUAUAGGUUAAUAAGCAAAAUCAGGUGCAGUUAAUGAUAAAGCUACCUCUUAAUGGGUGUGCUUUUGCACGUGCGACAAAUUUGUUUACUGCAUUGUUCAGCAGUUUCAGUGGUAUCCAACAUCUCCCCCUUUUUUAUUUAUUUGUUGCAUAAGAACAGUCCUAGUAAAUUUUAAUUGUGGAGUGUUUUGA
This is a long non-coding RNA of Phacochoerus africanus (Common warthog), 4900 nucleotides long. RefSeq lists it as uncharacterized. Lineage: Eukaryota; Metazoa; Chordata; Mammalia; Artiodactyla; Suidae. The transcript is spliced from 2 exons. The record is from RefSeq and is a predicted model, not a curated record.